Long non-coding RNA from Equus caballus (horse), 4070 nucleotides. NCBI's taxonomy places the organism in Eukaryota, Metazoa, Chordata, Mammalia, Perissodactyla, Equidae. The record is from Ensembl.
GCUCCGUAGGGCGGGCUGCCUGCCCUGGCUGGACUGGAUUAAAUCUGUGUUCUAGUGGGUGUGGCAGACCUGUGGGCUAACAGGCCAGGGGAAGAACCUCAAUGGCGCCUACCAGGGUCCCUGUCAGCACGCCUGGACCAGGUCAGAACAAUGGCCCCCACCAAUGUCUCAGUCUCUGGAGAAGUCUCUCCUCUCACCAAGAUGCCCCCAGAGCCCAGCAGGUGAGUCUCCUUUCACCAAACCACUGUCACACUUCUCUCUGUGGAUUUUAGGUUGCUGCAAUGAGUGAGUUUGUGCGUGGGCCUUUUAAGACCCGAGUCUUUUCGGCUUUCAGCCAAUGGCUUUUCUGGGGGUAUCCUUGCUGCAGUUAAUAGCCAGCAAAGCCAGACAGUAAGACCCCCGUCUCAGUUGGGCUGAGUCUGAAGGAUGCUUAUAGCAGUAUCAGCUCCACUCCAGACCUCACUUCUCCAGGGAGGGCUGCGUACCUGAGGGUGUCUCCUGCCUGGCCAGCUGAGAAGCUCCACUGCUCCCAAAGGUUUUUUUACACAGGGAAGAAAAGAAUGGUGUUUCAGCCCACACAGGAAGUAGUUGUGCCUGACCUGGGCCCGCUCCUGGGAGCAUAUUGCACACAUGAAUGUCACCCAAAAGCACAGUGUGUGUCUUUGGGGGGACAGAGCGCUAAUAUCUGUCUUAUUGGGUAAAAUCUACUGCAGUGCAAUGACUGAGUUUUACAGACUGGGCGUCGCCGGUGGCCCGCACCCAGCGCCUUACCUUAGGUGGGAAUUCAAAGGAUACGCGUGAAAGUCUUCCUUAGCACUCAGUUCAAGCCUGUACCACGAGAAGAGGAAGCAAAGCUGCUGACACGUGACCACCAAAGACAAAACAGAACUUAUUCUUCAGCCGUUUGGAGUGUUUCUUUCACCAGAAGGCAUUUUCCUUUGGCACAACACAUUGUCUUUGUUUUGACACUAUUAACAAAAAUUUGUACCCCCUACACCCUGGAUGAACAGAGAAAGGCUUGUUUUCUUCCUUUGGCACUUGGGCACUCUAUGGGGUAUAGGAAGCUGGUACAAAUCCUGCUCCCAGGAACAACACUGGUGAACACUGUGGCCAAGAUCCGGAGAGAACAGAGCAGGAUCAGGAGGAGACUUCACGGGCCACAGAAGUGUAGCGCAGACGCAAAGAAGAGAUGGAUCAGAUUCCAGUCUGUCUAGGGCAAAAGCACCAGAAGGCCUUUGCAAACCAGAGGACUCAGCAUCUUCUUUGGAAAUAUGAGCUUGUUCUGAAGAGGGUUGCCACGGAGCACUCCCUGAAAUCUAGUUUAAUUCUUUUCCGGCAACAAAGAUCAAGCAGAGAAGACAGAGGCAAUCCAUUUUCACCAAGUGUGGCCCCUAGAGGUCAGUGGCUACUAGUGUGCGUCCCUGCCGCCUCAUUUGCUGGUCACUGACAUUGAAGUAAAAAUCCACAUCGACAGGCACGGAUUCACAUGUGCGCAUGCAUACACACACACACACACACACACACACACACACACACACACAAGCACACACUGGCUCUCACAUGCAGCUGGCACUCAUGCUAAAGCUGUUCCGUAGAUGCAGGGGCAUGGAUGAGUUAGUUGCUUGUAAGCCUGAGCUUGGAGACAAACCUGCAGCACUAGUCUCUUAGGACCAGAAAAAAAAGCAUUCAUGCAUCGCCACCUAAUGGUACUUAUACCUCAUUACAGUCUUGGAUCUGCAUGAGAUCAACAGGUAGAUGGGUCCAACAAGUAAGACUCAUAGAUGGAAACUUGAACUUCAUGUUCCAAAUGUGUGUCUCAACUGUCCUGCUGCCACUCAUGGAGUUGUGUGCAGUGCUGGUUGCCCGCAACAAGGCUUGUGGCAGUGCUGCUUCAAUACCCCUGUGCUAAUUCCUCUUCUUCCGGGGGCUUCCAGUGACUCCUCCCGUGCUUCCGAGCUAUUCCCUUAGCACAAAGCUUUGAUCCCUUUUAACAUACCCUCCUGAGAACUAUCACUUCCAGCUGUUGUCACUCACUUUCCCAGAUGUUGGAUCCGGCUCUGAGGAUAGGUUUCAUCUACUGCGUGAUUUUUGACAAAGGCUAACCUGCCACAUUCGCCUCCAUCUUAUGCUCCAGGGUCCAGCCUGCCUUUGUGGGUAAGCCCUGAGUCAAUGGGAUUUGGAAGCCAAAGUGCAUUUCAUCCCCAAGUGGACUUUCGAGCGCUGAGCUCUGACUCACUCAGAGUCUGUGGGGAUCUUUGGGGCCUGUUGCUACACACUGGUUAAAUCAAAUCACAACCUCUGAAGUCAGCUGAGUGGCUCCUGUUGCCUUCUGAGAGCCCAGGGAGAUUGGAAAUCCCGAGUAACCGAUAAGGAAAGAAGGGCCUUUGCAGAUGAUCAGGCAAGACAGUGUUUGUGUUUAUGACGCCAGGCUGGAAGGGGCCUGCACCUGCCCUCUUCUCUCCGGGCUAAGCAAUUCUCUCCUCAGCUUCUCCCAACACAGAGAGAGUGGGUCAUUAUCUCCUCUGAACUUGGAAGAACAAAGUCCAGAGAAGUUAAGCCACUUGCCCGUGACCACACAAUGGAGGCCAGAGGAGAAGAAGCUAGGAGGACCCAACUUCCAGGCUUUGGCCCCUCCUUCUGGGGUCAGGCUGGCCCAAGCUUCACAGACACCCUGCUGAACUUCCCCUUCUGUGAAAUGACAUUUACAUGCAAAAUGCACAUUGUUGGUUGGAAGGUGAAGAGUCGUAACAGGUCUCUAAAUCUACUGCACCUUCCAGUAGAUCCUUGGGCAGAAAGCUGGAACCAUUUCUGUUAAAGUAAGGCAUGAGCUAUUCACACGCCUUACCCUUUUAUCUGCAACAGUGGAAUGUACUAAUGUACCAGGUCGGGGUGGGAGGAAAGUCUGGCUGUGACAAACCAUGUUCUCUCUCUCUCUCUCUUUUCUUCUCCACCUUUACUUCUCUUCCCUCUCCAUCCCUCUCUUGAAUCCUUCCUGAAUAAUUCCUUACUGAUCAGAGUUUGAUCAGGCUUCUUUUUUUUUUUUUUUAAUCUUAUUCAGGAAUUUUUUUUAUCUCGAAUGCAAUUCUAGAUAACUAAUUUUGUAAGUAUUGCUCCACCUGAAUCUUUAAGGAUCCCUUAAACUUACCCUGUCCAAAGUUGACCUCGUCAUCUUUCCUUCGUAUUGGAUGGACUGAGGGAGCAAUCCAUGAGGCCUUAAUUCCAUGCAAUGAACAUGAUAGAAACUGUCUGAUAAAAGUGGUCCCAGCUUCCUUUUCCCACUUGCACUCAGCAUCCUCCAUUAAGAGGAGGAAACAAAUGUUACCCAGCUGUAGCUGGAUGAACCAGAGAAUGUUGGACAAGCUAAAGAUGCCCCUAGGUAUGCAGGGCACAAGAGAGACCAGCCACCUAUUAAGGGACUAACUGGAACUCUGUCCAGAAGAAUCUCAACAAAAAAAAUUUGCUGGCAACAAAUUGUCCUUUGAUUAUGAGUCCAGCUGCCCAUUCUAAGGUGAGGAAAACUAGCACCCUAACAGAGUAACCAACUCUUUUUGCCCAGGACUUUCCCAGUCCUGAACUGAAGGCCUUACUCAAAGAAACCUCUUAGUCGCGGACAAAUCAAGAUGGUUGGUCAUUCCAGGCCCUAACGUUGUGCUGCUGCUGAGGUGGUAACAUCAUCUCCUUCACCCUUUCUUAUCUCUUUGCAAUAAAUGUCCGUAGCUGCGAAUCAUCUAGAUGCAUCUCUUCUAUGAAAUCCAUGUGCCACCUGUCCUGCAGGAUGGCACUCUCUCUCCUCCAGCCCUGUUCCAUGUCCCCAGUCCUGGCCCAGCUUCUUUUUUUCCAGUCAAUACUCCCCUGACUUAUUCUAUCCAUGUUCUAGGUGGAAACAUUUGUCAUCUUUUCUUGACUAUUUUCUCCAUUACCAACAGGCAAUUGAUCACCAAGUUCUAUUGAUUUAUAUUUUGAAAUGUCUGCAGAAUCCACCCUUCUCAACUUUUGCUACCAUCAUGAUAAUAAUUAUAAUAAAAACAAAAAAUUAUAAAAGCAAAAUAAAUAAAUUUUUAUAAUUAUAA